RNAcentral lists this ribosomal RNA (450 nucleotides) under uncultured bacterium. RNAcentral describes it as "partial 16S ribosomal RNA". It matches the Rfam family "Bacterial small subunit ribosomal RNA", at positions 339 to 795 of the family's 1533-position model. The record is from RNAcentral.
CCUCGGGUGGCUGCAGUAAGGAAUAUUGGUCAAUGGAGGAAACUCUGAACCAGCCAUCCCGCGUGAAGGAUGAAGGGGCUCUGCCUUGUAAACUUCUUUUGUCUGGGGCGAACAAGCUCGAUUUAUCGAGAACUGACGGUACCAGAAGAAUAAGCACCGGCUAACUCCGUGCCAGCAGCCGCGGUAAUACGGAGGGUGCAAGCAUUCUCCGGAAUCACUGGGUGUGAAGGCGGCGUAGUAAGCCAGUGAAGAAAGGCUGUGGCUUAACCAUGGAAUUGCCAUUGAUACUGCAGAGCUUGAAUGAGGUUGAGGUUGGCGGAAUGUGACAUGUAGCGGUGAAAUGCUUAGAUAUGUCAUGGAACACCGAUUGCGAAGGCAGCUGACUGGACCUAUAUUGACGCUGAGGCACGAAAGCGUGGGGAGCGAACAGGAUUAGAUACCCCAGUAGUC